GGGCCAUUAGCUCAACUGGUAGAGCAUCCGACUCUUAAUCGGACGGUUCGGGGUUCGAUUCCCUGAUGGCCCACCA
This 76-nucleotide transfer RNA is filed under the name Clostridiales bacterium. RNAcentral describes it as "tRNA-Lys". It matches the Rfam family "tRNA". From Rfam's summary of the family: Transfer RNA (tRNA) molecules are approximately 80 nucleotides in length. Their secondary structure includes four short double-helical elements and three loops (D, anti-codon, and T loops). Further hydrogen bonds mediate the characteristic L-shaped molecular structure. tRNAs have two regions of fundamental functional importance: the anti-codon, which is responsible for specific mRNA codon recognition, and the 3' end, to which the tRNAs corresponding amino acid is attached (by aminoacyl-tRNA synthetases). tRNAs cope with the degeneracy of the genetic code in two manners: having more than one tRNA (with a specific anti-codon) for a particular amino acid; and 'wobble' base-pairing, i.e. permitting non-standard base-pairing at the 3rd anti-codon position. Lineage: Bacteria; Bacillati; Bacillota; Clostridia; Eubacteriales. The record is from RNAcentral. RNAcentral also lists the same sequence under 1 other name.